Molecule: transfer RNA, 87 nt
Filed under: Athelia sp. TMB
Lineage: Eukaryota; Fungi; Basidiomycota; Agaricomycetes; Atheliales; Atheliaceae
Rfam family: tRNA
About the family: Transfer RNA (tRNA) molecules are approximately 80 nucleotides in length. Their secondary structure includes four short double-helical elements and three loops (D, anti-codon, and T loops).
Source: Rfam by way of RNAcentral
GCAUUAAUGGGGUAGUGGUAACCUGGGUCGUUGCCAUUCGGCUUGCAUAAAGUCGACCCGCCGGGGGUUCGAUUCCCUCUUAAUGCA